This 253-nucleotide ribosomal RNA is filed under the name uncultured bacterium. RNAcentral describes it as "partial 16S ribosomal RNA". It matches the Rfam family "Bacterial small subunit ribosomal RNA", at positions 524 to 776 of the family's 1533-position model. The record is from RNAcentral.
UACGGAGGGGGUUAGAGUUGUUCGGAAUUACUGGGCGUAAAGCGCGCGUAGGCGGUUCAGAAAGUUGGGGGUGAAAUCCCGGGGCUCAACCCCGGAAUUGCCUUCAAAACUCCUGGUCUUGAGUUCGAGAGAGGUGAGUGGAAUUCCGAGUGUAGAGGUGAAAUUCGUAGAUAUUCGGAGGAACACCAGUGGCGAAGGCGGCUCACUGGCUCGAAACUGACGCUGAGGUGCGAAAGUGUGGGGAGCAAACAGG